RNAcentral lists this long non-coding RNA (1349 nucleotides) under Lonchura striata (white-rumped munia). Its description in RNAcentral is "domestica (Bengalese finch) lncRNA (ENSLSDG00000011449.1)". Lineage: Eukaryota; Metazoa; Chordata; Aves; Passeriformes; Estrildidae. The record is from RNAcentral.
AGUUUCAGGAGGGUUUUUGGGCUUCCUCCUUCACGUGGCUGAAGCACAGCCAUGGAGAGGGAAGCCUCUCACAACCUCCUGGGGGUACCUGCAACAGGUGAUGUGAGCAGAGACCUUGGCUUGUGCUGCCUCAGAAUUCUGGCAUGUAAAUAAGUUGUCACUUAACAACAGUGGGAACUGCAACAUUUGGAGUUCUGGGAAAAUCCUCUGCACCCCAAGUAGGCACUGUAGUUAUGUAAAACACACGUAAGAUAUUAAUUCCCUCCAGGAGAUUGUAUUUUGUGUUUUAUGUAUUUUGAGUUUCCCAGGCAGUGGGGAGCAAGAGGGCAUUUGGUUCUGCAAGAUGUUUAACCAGAUCUGAAAACCUCACCAUGGAAGUUUAGGAAGAGGCGAUGUCCCACUGCAGCCAGGUGGAAGGAAGAGCCAGGUGUAGAUCUCCUGUGUUCUAAUGGUACAUUCAGACUGAAAAAUAGCCUCAUCUAAAUACUAAUAUUCAAAUAACAGUCACCACAAAUCCAUUUGUUCCUGCCACAGACUUCAGAAAAAUUGCUGCUUGUCUUCCCUCCCCCACGAGGCUGAAUCCCAGCACCCCAGAUUGUCGUGACUGCCUGGGAUUGGUGACAUCUCCAGUGAAAUGUGUUGGAGCAUCAAAACAGAGUGGGAGAAGCACAGCCUGGCUGUGGAGCCAGAAAUAGGAAUCCCCCAGCACAUCUGAUUCCAGCCAUAUGACCCAACACCUCAGCUGACCCUUUCAGGUAACACACAGAAAGGGCCAGGCUGUGGUGCUGCUGGUUCCUGCCAUGGGCAAAGUUUUCCUCUUGCUUUGAAUUCUCUCAGACCGCUGCCGUCUCACUUCCCCUGGCACAGGAGAAAAUGUGAUGGUGUUUACAGAGCAGAAGCACUGGGACUCAGGAGAUGUGAAAGGUGGCUCUGCUGGCUCUACCUUCAACACCUCUCCAUGGUUCUGACUUCCUGUCAGGAUAACCUGGACUAAAAUCCCUCUGUGCUUCUCCUGUGCGAUCCUACGGUAUCUAACACAACCUCAGACUCUGUCAACGGGGCACUCCAGGAGCUCCACCUUCCUCUCAGCCAUCUCAGGGAACUCAGCUCAGUGUUUGGAAGCUCUGCCUCCAUUUAUGACCUUCCCUGAUUCCAGUGAGGAGCUGGAACUGCUGUUGACCUCAGGAGUGACAGAAGUAUAUGCUGGGGUUGGAGGGUUUCUGGCAUAUGACCUGCUAACCUAGAAUUUGCUUGGCAAAGUCCAGAGGAUGACUUUUAACCUCAGAGCAGUUUGCAAAACCACAUCUGUGACCAAUAAAUGUGAAAAAUAAAUGAAAAAAUAAAUCUAG